This 241-nucleotide signal recognition particle RNA is filed under the name pig gut metagenome. Its description in RNAcentral is "Bacterial large signal recognition particle RNA". It matches the Rfam family "Bacterial large signal recognition particle RNA". Rfam says of the family: The signal recognition particle (SRP) is a universally conserved ribonucleoprotein involved in the co-translational targeting of proteins to membranes. Archaeal SRP consists of a 7S RNA and homologues of the eukaryotic SRP19 and SRP54 proteins. In most bacteria, the SRP consists of a 4.5S RNA and the Ffh protein (a homologue of the eukaryotic SRP54 protein). The record is from RNAcentral. RNAcentral also lists the same sequence under 1 other name.
GCCGGGGAGUUAGCGGCUCCUUGUACCUGAAAUCCGCUAUAGCAGGGGUGAUAUCCCGCAGAGGGUGUAUUUGCGUACAGCAGUCUUUGGUUAUCAGGCGUUGAGACUUGGGUCUUGCGCGACGGAAAUCCGUGAACCGUGUCAGGUCAGGAAUGAAGCAGCACUAAGCGGAACCUUCCGGGUGUUGUGAGGUCGCCUGGGUUGAGUCAGUAGCCUUAAAAACGUGUAUGUUUUGCAUUCG